RNAcentral lists this small RNA (504 nucleotides) under Arabidopsis thaliana (thale cress). RNAcentral's name for it is "ATSL083120". Lineage: Eukaryota; Viridiplantae; Streptophyta; Magnoliopsida; Brassicales; Brassicaceae. The record is from RNAcentral.
AUUAGAAUAUAUAGUUAUAUUUAUAUAUAUAUAUAUCAUAAAUAGUUUGUGUAUUGUCGUUACUUUCUGUUUUUAUGUUAAGAUACUUGUUUGGUCAUUUUUCUUUCAUGUUAUGUUUUGAUCAAUGACAUCUUAAACUAUCGGGUUUUAGUUUUUAGAAUUAGUUUGAUAACAUUUAGUUGACUGGUGAUAACAACAAUAGUUAUGUGUGGUAUUUGGAACUUGUUUUGAAAGGAUGUUACAUAAAAACUUUGAAUAUCUGAUAUGAUUAUAUAGUUUACAAUUUUUUUUAAUAUUUAUAUUUAUCAAAGCGGAUAUCCCCAAAUAUCACAAAAAAAUCCAGAUAUCCGAAAAUUUUCGAACCAAAGCAAAUUACAAAAUCAAGUAUUCGGUUAAAACGAAUCGAAUAACAAAUAUCAUAAUUUUUUCGAAUAUCCGUUCCGUGUCCAGGCCUACUUUUACGGAUAAUAACAGAGAACAUAACAGGGUGGUGUGGUUCAUUAA